GUCAAUCUCCAUUUUUAAAGUAAUGUACAGAACAGAGAACAAGAAACUCAGAACACUAUGCAUAUUCAAAAUGACUGAUUUGGUGAAAGUUUAUACCAUCACUCAUAUAUGCCAACUAGUUUCCAUGAGUUAGGCACACCUGUGAGCCCAAAAACAACAGGCGGAGAGAUAAGGUCCUCUGGUUGGUAUACCAAGACUAUUUUCCUACUAGUUAUAGCUUAGGCUUCAUCAUUUUAGUUCAUAUGAUUUGGUCGAUUCCUUUCACUGCUUCCCUCUUUUUUUUUGUAUUUAAUACAUGACUUUUCACUAGCUUUGUCAUCUUUUCUAUGCUAUUGUAAUUGAAUGCUUAUUAUCUGUUACGAAGUCCUUUGUAUUGUCUUGGAGUAUGCAAUGAAUGAAUCCUUGGCCUUCUAUGCUUUGAAAUGCAUUAGUUUAAUUAUGACAUCAGGAUUUAUGUACGUUACUUUGAAUAUUAAAAAAAAUUCAAAAUUGAUUUCCCUAACACAUGCUGGGUGACCAUUUCCAGGAAGUCAUUACAGUUGACGCAUCCAUACUAAGGCAGGGGAGAAGCGUGGUUGUAACAUCAGUAAAUUUCAGUGCAAAGAAAACCGGGAAACUUCUAUAUACAUCUCGUUCUACCUUUUACAUUAUGCCAGUGGCCAGUCUGUAAACCCCUAUUUUACAAACCAACAUUCUAAGAAACAUGGUAUAUACAUUAAGUACAUUGUUCGUGAUUACAGCUUGUUAAAAUCGACUUUGCCUCCACCGGAGUGGCAUGCUGUGAAGAAUUGUCUCUGAAUGGUGGAGUCAAACAUUUGAAGAUAUACUUGAUUCAGUGCGGAGUGCCAUGGAAGUUUCAGCAGCACCUCAUAUGAAACCAGAACUCAUGUCCUUAUCAUCCAGCAAGGCAGCGGAUCUGACGUCUGGACAGAAAAUUCCAAUGGUAAUUUACCAAAACUCAUUCUUGAUUUUGUAGUUUAACGAUCCUUUUUAAUUCGCUUUACUCGAGAAUAUUUCCAUCUUAUAAAAGUUUAAGCAAAAAAACAGAUUGAAUUUCAUAUAGAAAUGUGUAUUUGGAUUGGCAUUAAAAAAGGGAAGUGUUUAUUUCUUAA
Molecule: long non-coding RNA, 1112 nt
Organism: Zingiber officinale
Lineage: Eukaryota; Viridiplantae; Streptophyta; Magnoliopsida; Zingiberales; Zingiberaceae
Exons: 2
Source: RefSeq, a predicted model, not a curated record